Arachis ipaensis is the source of this 552-nucleotide non-coding RNA. Lineage: Eukaryota; Viridiplantae; Streptophyta; Magnoliopsida; Fabales; Fabaceae. The record is from RefSeq and is a predicted model, not a curated record.
UUAGAAAAAAUAAUUUAAUUAUUAAAUUUUUUUAAAAAUUUCUAUUUUAUAAAUAAAGAGAAAUAGAGUAUCAUUUUAGUAUCUCUCAGUGACAUUUUCUCAAAAGAAAUAAUACAAUCAUAUGAAAUAUGUAAAGACCGUGUUGUGUUUAUAAUAGUUGUUUGAUAAUUAAAUUGGGAUAUUGUAAAAGGAGACCCUAGUAUGAGAGAAUCUGAGCCGCUUUUUUUUAUUUGGUCAAGACUGAUGAACUUCUGUCCUAGUACACAGUAAAAAGUCAACAAAUUGUUCGCUAGGCGACAGGUGGAGGGCAUGCACGAGAGAGGCUUGGUCCCAACUCCCAACUUAUCUAAAAGUUAUGCUUUGAUGUUUGAGAUUGUUAGCUUGGUGUGGAGACUGUUACUUUGCUGCACUCUCAAUAGAACAUCAACAAGCUUCUCCACCUUGGACUUCAACCCACUCAAAUAAUACAGAGGUUUGAUGGAUGGAAACAAAUCCGCCCAAUGAAACCCUCCAAAAAUUUCCAUCACUUCUUUGAUCAGAAGCACAAACUCG